Molecule: ribosomal RNA, 409 nt
Filed under: Actinomycetes bacterium
Lineage: Bacteria; Bacillati; Actinomycetota; Actinomycetes
Description: Actinobacteria bacterium partial 16S ribosomal RNA
Rfam family: Bacterial small subunit ribosomal RNA
Source: RNAcentral
UGGGGAAUAUUGCACAAUGGGCGCAAGCCUGAUGCAGCGACGCCGCGUGAGGGAUGACGGCCUUCGGGUUGUAAACCUCUUUCAGCUCCGACGAAGCGCAAGUGACGGUAGGAGCAGAAGAAGCACCGGCCAACUACGUGCCAGCAGCCGCGGUAAUACGUAGGGUGCAAGCGUUGUCCGGAAUUACUGGGCGUAAAGAGCUCGUAGGCGGUUUGUCGCGUCGUCUGUGAAAUUCUGCAGCUUAACUGCAGGCGUGCAGGCGAUACGGGCAGACUUGAGUACUACAGGGGAGACUGGAAUUCCUAGUGUAGCGGUGAAAUGCGCAGAUAUCAGGAGGAACACCGGUGGCGAAGGCGGGUCUCUGGGUAGUAACUGACGCUGAGGAGCGAAAGCGUGGGUAGCGAACAGG